AGAUCUUGCACCUGGGCCCGGCGUCACCAUGCUACGCCAUGUGGCUAGGUCUCCUCUGAAGCUAAGCAGGUUUAGUCCUGGUUGGUCCCUGGAUGGAAGACCAGCUGCUGCUGGAAGUAUUGAGGGACACUUUCCUUUGAUAAUUUCUUACGACUCACGGCGGUGUGAUAUGGAAGGCCAGUGGAACGUUCCGGUAGCACUGCAAUACCCGGUUCUUCUCCCAGUUAACGAGUCAGUAAUCCCUUAUGUUGAUUUGCCAUGGUCUCCCAGGACUAGGAGGCCAUAACCACAGCACAUUGACUGAAGAUCACAGAUAGUAACCACUGCAGUUUGGCCGUAAGACAUUUUGUUUGUGACCUGAGACGCCGUGCAUAUUUCCGCCGAGAACAGAGGCAGUCAUCCAUAUGUUUGUUUUAAUCAGAUCUUUAACUAGACUCGAAAGGC
This is a long non-coding RNA of Esox lucius (northern pike), 444 nucleotides long. Lineage: Eukaryota; Metazoa; Chordata; Actinopteri; Esociformes; Esocidae. The record is from Ensembl.